GACGAACGCUGGCGGCGUGCUUAAUACAUGCAAGUCGAACGGAAAGGCCCUGCUUUUGUGGGGUGCUCGAGUGGCGAACGGGUGAGUAACACGUGAGUAACCUGCCCUUGACUUUGGGAAAACUUCAGGAAACUGGGGCUAAUACCGGAUAGGAGCUCCUGCUGCAUGGUGGGGGUUGGAAAGUUUCGGCGGUUGGGGAUGGACUCGCGGCUUAUCAGCUUGUUGGUGGGGUAGUGGCUUACCAAGGCUUUGACGGGUAGCCGGCCUGAGAGGGUGACCGGCCACAUUGGGACUGAGAUACGGCCCAGACUCCUACGGGAGGCAGCAGUGGGGAAUAUUGCACAAUGGGCGGAAGCCUGAUGCAGCAACGCCGCGUGCGGGAUGACGGCCUUCGGGUUGUAAACCGCUUUCGCCUGUGACGAAGCGUGAGUGACGGUAAUGGGUAAAGAAGCACCGGCUAACUACGUG
RNAcentral lists this ribosomal RNA (468 nucleotides) under uncultured bacterium. RNAcentral describes it as "partial 16S ribosomal RNA". It matches the Rfam family "Bacterial small subunit ribosomal RNA", at positions 28 to 507 of the family's 1533-position model. The record is from RNAcentral.